Long non-coding RNA from Cryptomeria japonica (Japanese cedar), 514 nucleotides. RefSeq lists it as uncharacterized. The record is from RefSeq and is a predicted model, not a curated record. Lineage: Eukaryota; Viridiplantae; Streptophyta; Pinopsida; Cupressales; Cupressaceae. The transcript has 4 exons.
UGAUCUUCCUAAUCUUCCAGUAUCUAUACAAAAACAACUUCAAGCAAACUAUAUGCAACCCAGGAAUGUCUCAAGAAUAUGGUUCACAUGAUUCAUGCUUCAGCAUCUGACCAAACUGAGUUUUCUGAACCUGUGUUAAUCCAACAAAAAUUGGAAAUCAACAGCAAACAGGUGGAUCCAUCAGCUCAAGCAACUGAAUCAUCAUACAACUACGACUGGACUCAGGAUAUUUUCAAAUGACACUAAUAGGAAUAUAGCACAAUGGAAGUGUGCGAGUUGCAUGUUGUACUGGCUACAAUUCUUGGUCAAUAUGCGAAUUUUCCAAUGCCAAUGCGACAUUCAGCCAUAUGGAUAAUGCAAACACCAGCCCAAAGGUAUAGUUUACAGGAACCGUAUCAAUGUAUUGUUCAUUUUAUUCUUUGAAAAACUAGAGAGUAAGGCUAAAUGGCGAUCUCCUUGAAAUUGAUAAAUCUAUUUUCUUUAGUUUUCCUUGGAUUAAGGCCAAUGGCUGUUG